UAUAUAUUUUAUUACAACAAAAAAUGUAUUGAUCGUCUAACUCAUCAAUAUUCUCGUUAAUAUUAAUAAUAUUUUGUGAUGUACUGUGGAAAGUAACACCAGCUUUUACUUGAUGUUCUUCAUCAUCAUUUAAUGUUAAAAGUUUGAUCAGAUCGACUUUAAUAGCAAGAUACCAUCUUAUACACCCAAAAAACCUUGCAGAUUCAUUGAGUAAAAUAUUAAAAAUUCUAUCUUUUAAUUGAUUUAAAAUUAGACUUACAUCUACUUCAUUAUUUCUAAAGCUUAUUCUAUAUCUAAUAAUAUUGCUAUUGAUAGCAGUGACCCGCUUAACUUUAAAGUCAAUCAUUUCAACACUCACCCUUUGAGAUUGUUGUGUUAAUGAAGACGUGAUAACACGCGCGCGCUAGAUGUUUGCUGAUACUGAAUCGCUGUUUCUCGGAGCCGAGUUGAUUCUCUCUUGGAGUCGAGUAGUUUCUCUCUUGGAGUCGAGUAGAUUCUCUCUCGCUAAGUCGAAACUCUCUUCGAUUCUCUCCGACUCGUGCUAACUGCAAUGAUGAAGACGGGAGGGGAAGUCUUGUUAUCGGCUUACUGAAUCAGGCGACUGUUUUGUUCGUGUAUAAGAUAUGAUUGUUACUGUUUCUCAAUGUCUUACUGUAAAUAUAAAUUUGAAAAUAGUUGAAAUUACUGAAGCUAUAGUUGAAUAAGAAAUAGAGUAAGUAUUAAUGUAUGAUGUAAGACUUGUCAAUGAAUUCAAAGCUAUAUGAUGUUCUAAACAGUUGUUAUACUAUCAAGUCUAAUGAAUAAAUGAGAAAUCGGGCUGCAUACGAUUGAUUCUAUUUAUAUGUUAUUGUAAAUGGGAAGAGAAUAAAUUUUUCCCUUUUCCCACAUUUCUGGUUAGCUGAUGAACAAUGUUCUUCCUAGUUCUAUCCUUUUCUUUGUAUUAGAUGCAGAGCGAGGUGAACGCAUUCGCGUCAAUGAUUUCAACUUCACGUUGAAAAGAGACAAGCAAUAUCGACUUCUUUGUUAGAUGCACUGUACUUGAAUGCAGUCUAAUCAUGUAUAUCAUAAAGACAGGAAAUUCAGUACAUAGGCUUAACUGUACUUACAAGUAGCAUUAACAUAUACAACUUCUAAUUUAAGUACAAGGAUGUGUUAGCCUUGCUAUUUUCAUCAAGGUAAUGAAAUACACCCCUUCCAAUUCAGAAUUACGGAAGACGAUAUCCCACCAUUAGAUUUCAGAGUGUAGAAGGAGAAAAUUUUUAGUAUAAAAGCACUCAAAGUUUUGAUUUGAAUCAUAGUAUUCAUCUGAUGAAAAUGUCAUCUACUAGCACUACUGAUUCGACCAAGAACGUUGCUAUGGAUCAGCCAAUGGUAACAUACUCGAGUGUAGCAGCUACACCGAAGAUGACGUCUUCGCCAGCUCCUUCGACAAUACCGCAGAUACCGUGGGGAUUCCCGUAUAAUAUAUGGAGCAAUCCUCAUCUUUUCAAUCAAGCAUUUCCCGGAUUAGGAAUGAUGCAAACCAUUCCCGGUCCGGUUGCACCUUCACCACCAGGAUUUCAACCGAUUGCAUCUUCUCCUCCUAUCACCGAACCGUCUACUAUCUCAAAAGCGUCUACUUCCACGCCUGCUGACGAGACAACUUCUUCUCCUCUCAUCUCCGAGCCGUCCACGUCUACUAUCUCAAAAGCGUCUACUUCCACGCCUGCUGACGAGACAACUUCUUCUCCUCUCAUCUCCGAACCGUCCACGUCUAUCAUCUCGAAAGCGACUACUUCUUCAGCUACCAUCACAAAACCGACUACACAUGGUCCUAUUGUUGACGAGGAGACCGCUGUCACGAGGGUGAGUAAAUCUUCAUCCUCAUCAAGUUCGGAUGAGCUUGAUGAGGAUGAAGCAACUUUUUCUGUUAAAAAAUUUAAUUGUGCACAAACAUAUGUAGCAAAACGUUGUAUAUCUGCACAAACAUUAAGUACCGUAUUUGAAUACCCUAUUAUAAAAGCUAGAUUUGUGAAGACUCAGUGGGGGGAUAGCUAUAUUCUUCAUUUAUUGAAUCAAAAAAAUAAAGAAAUUAGUAUUUUCCUCCCAAGGAGAUAUUCGUGCUGGCUAAAUAAAAAAAACUUAGAUUCAUUUAACAGAUCAAAAUUAAAACUAAAAGCAAAACAUCGACUAGUAAACAGAGUGAUAAAAGGGAAGGAGUUAUCGGUAACGGUUACUGACCUCACACUAAUAGACUGUACCACCUAAACUCUUGAAAGGAUAUGAUAACAAAAUUUAAACUAAAAGCUUAGAUUCAUUUAACAGAUCAAAAUUAAAACUAAAAGCAAAACAUCGACUAGUAAACAGAGUGAUAAAAGGGAAG
RNAcentral lists this unclassified non-coding RNA (2362 nucleotides) under Nilaparvata lugens (brown planthopper). RNAcentral describes it as "endochitinase A-like, transcript variant X2". Lineage: Eukaryota; Metazoa; Arthropoda; Insecta; Hemiptera; Delphacidae. The record is from RNAcentral.